This 1124-nucleotide ribosomal RNA is filed under the name Triticum aestivum (bread wheat). RNAcentral's name for it is "partial small subunit ribosomal RNA". The record is from RNAcentral. Lineage: Eukaryota; Viridiplantae; Streptophyta; Magnoliopsida; Poales; Poaceae.
CCUCCCCGCUCCCCCAUAUCAACACAGUUCCCUUUCUCGUCUCGUAGGAUCCCUAUAUAUUUUUUUUUUGAGGGGAUAGGAUCCCUAUAUUGAGAAGAUCAAUCAUGGCAUGCCUUCCCUCCUGAACCUCAUAGCUGACCCGGCCGAUUCAUUGAUGUUGAGGGCACAAGAGGCGUGUCUUGUUCAGCAACUGGGACGGAAAGCAGAUCAAUCCCCACCCCCGAUUCACAGAAACACAAGUGCACACCAAGUGUUUGAUAGUUGUCCUCUGUUAUUGGUUUAAAAUUUUGGGGGCCUUCAGAUAGAGGGGGUUGUUUCUGAUUCUUCUUCUAUAAGGUCUACUGAACAUAAGAGGUGGCUUAAAUCUGGUAACUGUUAGGGUGUCAGGUGUGGACGCGUACAAUAUUUCAAUCUAGUUCUGCACCAUUACUACCUUGACGAUAUGUCAUGGACAAGAAUUUCAGUGCAUAGCAAGGGGAGAUAUAUUCUCCUGCACAAAGGCUGUUGUCGAGACCAAUAAAACAACAAAAGGUGCUAAUGCAUGCAGUAAGAGUGCUCGAAGUGGUUCGCUGAGUUGGAUGGAUGCCAAUGAACUACCUGCAGGAACUAAAGUAUUCUUGAAGAGCCUGAAAAAUCAUAACAAGGGCGUAGCUUUAGCUACAAUGGUAAGUUCUGAUCCUAAAUUUAGACUUGAUGGUCCUGAAAUUAGAAAUGAAUUCUGGGCAGUGCAUGUCGAUAUGGCACUCGUGCAAACUGAAAAUUUGGUAUGAAGUUGCAAAACGUGUGAUACUCUUGGUGAUGCAGAAAAAGCAAAGAUUGCAUGACCUUCAACCUUUAUUCAAAAGAUAAAUGGAUGAGUAUAUGGGAGCGUGGCGAUUAUAGUGCAAUGAUGAUGUCGCUCUUCCGUUUCAUGAUGAUGACGAUGGAUGCUUUUAGUUUUAGUUAUGUUGUAGGGAUGACGUUCCCGUCGGGUGUUGUUCCUCAGUUAAGAUGGAUAUUUUCAGUUUAAGUUUUGCUGUUAAGAAAAUUGUUAGAUUAUGCAUCACAUUUGGAUGAUGUUCCUCCUGUAAUAUCCACUAUUGUAAUCCAACAGUUUUGUUCUAAUAUACGAUUUCUUCCUGCCG